GGCGAGAUAGCUCAGUUGGCUAGAGCACACGGUUCAUACCCGUGGUGUCGGGAGUUCGAGUCUCCCUCUCGCUA
Molecule: transfer RNA, 74 nt
Filed under: Lachnospira pectinoschiza
Lineage: Bacteria; Bacillati; Bacillota; Clostridia; Lachnospirales; Lachnospiraceae
Also listed under: 3 other names
Description: tRNA-Met
Rfam family: tRNA
About the family: Transfer RNA (tRNA) molecules are approximately 80 nucleotides in length. Their secondary structure includes four short double-helical elements and three loops (D, anti-codon, and T loops).
Source: RNAcentral